UUUAAGUUUGAUUGUCUGAUCUCUCUUAACUCAUUCUUCUUGAACUGUUUUCAUCAAUUUGAAGAGCUAAAUUUAGUUUGCAUUCAAGCAAUUGGAUUGUGUUAGUGUGGUUUUGUUGAUUGUGUUCCAUUGAUAUACUAUUGGUUCUAAAUUGUGAGUUUUAAGUUGGUCCUCUUUAGUCAUUCCUGGGUUCAUUUGUGCUUGCUGAACACUGAUUCUUGCUGCUGCUGAGUCUGCUAAAUCUCACUCCCCUCUUUGUUUUCCUCUUUCCAGGUAUAUCUUGAUCCUAUGGAUAUCAUUUGAGGUGUAAACUUGAGUCAUGAAUUAAGAAUGAGAAAGCUAGUCUACACCCUUUCUUCUUUUAAUAUACUAUCACUGUGUACUUUUGACUUUUCAAUUAGUGUAUUCUGCCCAAAAGGGAGGUUUGUAAUUAAGAGCUAAAUCACAUAGUUUUUUUGUGUAACUACUUUCUUCCUUAUUGUGACUGUUGGACGCUAUAGCUAUUCUAUGAACUCGUUGUUUUAAAGUUUUGUUCAAUCAAGUAUUCUGCUUAAAUCUUAUGGGUUUAGGAAAUGAAUGAAUAUUUUCAUGAUGGUAUGAUUGUUGUAGUGAAGUUAAGUUGUGGUUUAUAGUUUCAUUUCAUUUUCUUGUUAAUUGAUUUAUCAUGCUAUCCAUGGAUCUCCCUCUUUUAAUUUCAUUUGGUCUAAUAUUGCUUGUUUGUUGCAUUGAAGUACCGCAUCCAAGGUGAAAAGAAUGGCUUUUUUUUCUUAUAUAUUUUUAUUUGACUAGUACAUGAGAUUUAAUAUUUUCUAGAAGUGUUUAAAUGUUGAUAGCAUGAAUUUCAGUGGACAAAACCACUUCUCACCAUUGUAAACCGAUAUAUUUUCAUGGCAACCACAAGAAUCUGUUCUCAUGUGAAAAAGGAUUGGCAAAACUAAGAAGAAAGAAA
RNAcentral lists this long non-coding RNA (949 nucleotides) under Nicotiana tabacum (common tobacco). RNAcentral describes it as "long non-coding RNA (NTAB_LNC016381)". Lineage: Eukaryota; Viridiplantae; Streptophyta; Magnoliopsida; Solanales; Solanaceae. The record is from RNAcentral.